GACGAACGCUGGCGGCGUGCUUAACACAUGCAAGUCGAACGGAAAGGCCCCUUUGGGGGUACUCGAGUGGCGAACGGGUGAGUAACACGUGAGUAACCUGCCCUUGACUUCGGGAUAACUUCAGGAAACUGGGGCUAAUACCGGAUAGGAAUCCUUGCUGCAUGGUGGGGGUUGGAAAGUUCCGGGGGUUUUGGAUGGACUCGCGGCUUAUAAGCUUGUUGGUGGGGUAGUGGCUUACCAAGGCUUUGACGGGUAGCCGGCCUGAGAGGGCGACCGGCCACAUUGGGACUGAGAUACGGCCCAGACGCCUACGGGAGGCAGCAGUGGGGAAUAUUGCACAAUGGGCGGAAGCCUGAUGCAGCAACGCCGCGUGCGGGAUGACGGCCUUCGGGUUGUAAACCGCUUUCAGCAGGGGCGAAGCUUGUGGUGACGGUACCUGCAGAAGAAGCACCGGCUAACUACGUG
Molecule: ribosomal RNA, 465 nt
Filed under: uncultured bacterium
Lineage: Bacteria
Description: partial 16S ribosomal RNA
Rfam family: Bacterial small subunit ribosomal RNA
Source: RNAcentral